CAGUAGCCGCGGUAAUACGAAGGGUGCAAGCGUUAAUCGGAAUUACUGGUCGUAAAGCGCGCGUAGGUGGUUUGGUAAGAUGGAUGUGAAAUCCCCGGGCUCAACCUGGGAACUGCAUCCAUAACUGCCUGACUAGAGUACGGUAGAGGGUGGUGGAAUUUCCUGUGUAGCGGUGAAAUGCGUAGAUAUAGGAAGGAACACCAGUGGCGAAGGCGACCACCUGGACUGAUACUGACACUGAGGUGCGAAAGCGUGGGGAGCAAACAGGAUUAGAUACCCCCGUAGUCCCUGUCUCUUAUAA
This 301-nucleotide ribosomal RNA is filed under the name uncultured bacterium. RNAcentral's name for it is "partial 16S ribosomal RNA". It matches the Rfam family "Bacterial small subunit ribosomal RNA", at positions 509 to 809 of the family's 1533-position model. The record is from RNAcentral.